Molecule: ribosomal RNA, 333 nt
Filed under: uncultured bacterium
Lineage: Bacteria
Description: partial 16S ribosomal RNA
Rfam family: Bacterial small subunit ribosomal RNA
Source: RNAcentral
CCUACGGGUGGCAGCAGUCGAGAAUCAUUCACAAUGGGGGAAACCCUGAUGGGGCGACGCCGCGUGGGGGAAUGAAGGUCUGCGGAUUGUAAACCCCGGUCAUGUGGGAGCAAAGUAAAAAGAUAGUACCACAAGAGGAAGAGACGGCGAACACGGUGCCAGCAGCCGCGGUAAUACAGAGGUCUCAAGCGUUGUUCGGAAUCACUGGGCGUAAAGCGUGCGUAGGCGUUUUCGUAAGUCGUGUGUGAAAGGCGCGGGCUCAACCCGCGGACGGCCCCUGAUACUGCGAGACUAGAGUAAUGGAGGGGGAACCGGCAUUCUCGGUGUAGCCGU